RNAcentral lists this ribosomal RNA (450 nucleotides) under uncultured bacterium. Its description in RNAcentral is "partial 16S ribosomal RNA". It matches the Rfam family "Bacterial small subunit ribosomal RNA", at positions 338 to 795 of the family's 1533-position model. The record is from RNAcentral.
CCUACGGGGGGCUGCAGUAAGGAAUAUUGGUCAAUGGAGGAAACUCUGAACCAGCCAUCCCGCGUGAAGGAUGAAGGGGCUCUGCCUUGUAAACUUCUUUUGUCUGGGGCGAAAAAGCUCGAUUUAUCGAGAACUGACGGUACCAGAAGAAUAAGCACCGGCUACAUCCGUGCCAGCAGCCGCGGUCAUACGGAGGGGGCAGGCGUUAUCCGGAAUCACUGGGUCGAAAGGGGCUGUAGGCGUCAGAGUAGAAAGGCUGUGGCUUAACCAUGGAAUUGCCAUUGAUACUGCAGAGCUUGAAUGAGGUUGAGGUUGGCGGAAUGUGACAUGUAGCGGUGAAAUGCUUAGAUAUGUCAUGGAACACCGAUUGCGAAGGCAGCUGACUGGACCUAUAUUGACGCUGAGGCACGAAAGCGUGGGGAGCGAACAGGAUUAGAUACCCCUGUAGUC